This is a small nuclear RNA of Zalophus californianus (California sea lion), 104 nucleotides long. The record is from RefSeq and is a predicted model, not a curated record. NCBI's taxonomy places the organism in Eukaryota, Metazoa, Chordata, Mammalia, Carnivora, Otariidae.
ACUCAUUUUGUCAGCAUAUGUACUAAAUUAGAAUGAUGGAGUAAAGAUUAGCCUGACAUCUGCACAAGGAUGACAUGCAAAUUUGUGAAGCAUACCAUGUUUUG